This 604-nucleotide ribosomal RNA is filed under the name uncultured bacterium. RNAcentral's name for it is "bacterial SSU rRNA". It matches the Rfam family "Bacterial small subunit ribosomal RNA", at positions 38 to 645 of the family's 1533-position model. The record is from RNAcentral.
GGCGGCGUGCUUACACAUGCAAGUCGAGUGCGCGUCUGUAGCAAUACAGAUGGCGCACGGCGCACGGGUGCGUAACACGUGGGUAAUCUGCCCUUCGAAGGGGAAUAACUCGCCGAAAGGCGAGCUAAUUCCGCAUAACAUUCCGAGAACCUUGGUUUUUGGAUUCAAAGGCGUAAGUCGUCGGAGGAGGAGCCCGCGCACGAUUAGCUAGUUGGUGAGGUAACGGCUCACCAAGGCUAUGAUCGUUAGCUGGUCUGAGAGGAUGGCCAGCCACACUGGAACUGAGACACGGUCCAGACUCCUACGGGAGGCAGCAGUGGGGAAUCUUGCACAAUGGGCGAAAGCCUGAUGCAGCGACGCCGCGUGGGGGAUGAAGCUUCUCGGAGUGUAAACCCCUUUCGAACCGGACGAAUGCCCCGCAAGGGGACUGACGGUACGGGUAUAAGAAGCCCCGGCUAACUACGUGCCAGCAGCCGCGGUAAGACGUAGGGGGCCAGCGUGGCUCGGAAUUACUGGGUGUAAAGGGUUCGUAGGCGGUGUGGCAAGUCGGGAGUGAAAUCUCUAGGCUCAACCUAGAGUCUGCUUCCGAAACUGCUGUGCUUGA